GGGCGGUUAGCUCAGCGGUAGAGCACUGCCUUCACACGGCAGGGGUCAGUGGUUCGAUCCCACUACCGCCCACCA
Molecule: transfer RNA, 75 nt
Filed under: Ectothiorhodospira shaposhnikovii
Lineage: Bacteria; Pseudomonadati; Pseudomonadota; Gammaproteobacteria; Chromatiales; Ectothiorhodospiraceae
Also listed under: 18 other names
Description: tRNA-Val
Rfam family: tRNA
About the family: Transfer RNA (tRNA) molecules are approximately 80 nucleotides in length. Their secondary structure includes four short double-helical elements and three loops (D, anti-codon, and T loops). Further hydrogen bonds mediate the characteristic L-shaped molecular structure. tRNAs have two regions of fundamental functional importance: the anti-codon, which is responsible for specific mRNA codon recognition, and the 3' end, to which the tRNAs corresponding amino acid is attached (by aminoacyl-tRNA synthetases). tRNAs cope with the degeneracy of the genetic code in two manners: having more than one tRNA (with a specific anti-codon) for a particular amino acid; and 'wobble' base-pairing, i.e. permitting non-standard base-pairing at the 3rd anti-codon position.
Source: RNAcentral